UACGGAGGAGGCAAGCGUUAUCCGGAAUUACUGGGCGUAAAGAGUUGCGUAGGCGGUUUUGUAAGCGUGUAGUGAAAUCAUGUGGCUCAACCACGUGUCUACUACACGAACUACAAAACUAGAGCAUGAGAGGGGUGGCUGGAAUUCCCGGUGUAGGAGUGAAAUCCGUAGAUAUCGGGAGGAACACCAAUGGCGUAGGCAGGCCACUGGCUCAUUGCUGACGCUCAGGCACGAAAGCGUGGGGAGCGAACCGG
This 254-nucleotide unclassified non-coding RNA is filed under the name uncultured Patescibacteria group bacterium. RNAcentral describes it as "contains 16S-23S intergenic spacer region". It matches the Rfam family "Bacterial small subunit ribosomal RNA", at positions 524 to 776 of the family's 1533-position model. The record is from RNAcentral.